GCAGCAGGGCAGAUGAUCGCCGGCCUUUUGAACAGGCCGGAGGAAAGUCCGAACUCCGCAGGGCAGGAUGGUCGCUAACGGCGACUGGGGGUGACCCUAAGGAAAGUGCCACAGAAAAUAUACCGCCCUUCCGGUUUACGGAAGUCCCAUGGGGAUUCGAGUUUGACUCGAAGGUAAGGGUGAAAAGGCGAGGUAAGAGCUCACCAGUUUUCCGGGUGACCGGGAAAGCUUGGUAAACCCCAUCCGGAGCAAGACCAAAUAGGAAAGCGUUAAGGGCGGCCCGCCCGUGCUUUCGGGUAGGUUGCAAGAGGCAGCGGGCAACCGCUGUCCCAGAGGAAUGAUCAUCACCUCCUUGCGGGUGACCGGAAGGAGGAACAGAAUUCGGCUUAUACCCGGCUGCAACU
Molecule: RNase P RNA, 404 nt
Filed under: Syntrophobacterales bacterium
Lineage: Bacteria; Pseudomonadati; Thermodesulfobacteriota; Syntrophobacteria; Syntrophobacterales
Description: RNase P RNA component class A
Rfam family: Bacterial RNase P class A
About the family: Ribonuclease P (RNase P) is a ubiquitous endoribonuclease, found in archaea, bacteria and eukarya as well as chloroplasts and mitochondria. Its best characterised activity is the generation of mature 5'-ends of tRNAs by cleaving the 5'-leader elements of precursor-tRNAs. Cellular RNase Ps are ribonucleoproteins.
Source: RNAcentral